AUUGAACGCUGGCGGCAGGCUUAACACAUGCAAGUCGAGCGAGCGGCGCACGGGUGUGUAAUAUCUGGGACACUGCCUGAUGGAGGGGGAAAACCACUGGAAACUGUCGCAUAUCCCACAUUCCCUCAGAUGUGCCCAGAUGGGAUUAGCUAGUAGGUGGGGUAAUGGCUCACCUAGGCGACGAUCCCUAGCUGGUCUGAGAGGAUGACCAGCCACACUGGAACUGAGACACGGCCCAGACUCCUACGGGAGGCAGCAGUGGGGAAUAUUGCACAAUGGGCGCAAGCCUGAUGCAGCCAUGCCGCGUGUAUGAAGAAGGCCUUCGGGUUGUAAAGUACUUUCAGCGGGGAGGCGUUACCCGCAGAAGAAGCACCGGCUAACUCCGUGCCAGCAGCCGCGGUAAUUC
This 406-nucleotide ribosomal RNA is filed under the name uncultured bacterium. RNAcentral's name for it is "partial 16S ribosomal RNA". It matches the Rfam family "Bacterial small subunit ribosomal RNA", at positions 30 to 526 of the family's 1533-position model. The record is from RNAcentral.